RNAcentral lists this ribosomal RNA (809 nucleotides) under uncultured Photobacterium sp. RNAcentral's name for it is "bacterial SSU rRNA". It matches the Rfam family "Bacterial small subunit ribosomal RNA", at positions 56 to 854 of the family's 1533-position model. The record is from RNAcentral. Lineage: Bacteria; Pseudomonadati; Pseudomonadota; Gammaproteobacteria; Vibrionales; Vibrionaceae.
UGCAGUCGAGCGGUAACAGGAAUUAGCUUGCUAAUUUGCUGACGAGCGGCGGACGGGUGAGUAAUGCCUGGGAAUAUGCCUUAGUGUGGGGGAUAACUAUUGGAAACGAUAGCUAAUACCGCAUAACGUCUUCGGACCAAAGAGGGGGACCUUCGGGCCUCUCGCGCUAAGAUUAGCCCAGGUGGGAUUAGCUAGUUGGUGAGGUAAAGGCUCACCAAGGCAACGAUCCCUAGCUGGUCUGAGAGGAUGAUCAGCCACACUAGAACUGAGACACGGUCCAGACUCCUACGGGAGGCAGCAGUGGGGAAUAUUGCACAAUGGGGGGAACCCUGAUGCAGCCAUGCCGCGUGUAUGAAGAAGGCCUUCGGGUUGUAAAGUACUUUCAGUCGUGAGGAAGGCAUUGUAGUUAAUAGCUGCAGUGCUUGACGUUAGCGACAGAAGAAGCACCGGCUAACUCCGUGCCAGCAGCCGCGGUAAUACGGAGGGUGCGAGCGUUAAUCGGAAUUACUGGGCGUAAAGCGCAUGCAGGCGGUCUGUUAAGCAAGAUGUGAAAGCCCGGGGCUCAACCUCGGAACCGCAUUUUGAACUGGCAGACUAGAGUCUUGUAGAGGGGGGUAGAAUUUCAGGUGUAGCGGUGAAAUGCGUAGAGAUCUGAAGGAACAUCAGUGGCGAAGGCGACUCACUGGUCCAUUACUGACGCUGAGGUGCGAAAGCGUGGGUAGCAAACAGGAUUAGAUACCCUGGUAGUCCACGCCCUAAACGAUGUCAACUAGGUGUAUGUGCAGUCGAGUGCAGUCGAGUCGAAGCUA